AUUGAACGCUGGCGGCAGGCCUAACACAUGCAAGUCGAGCGGAUGAAGGGAGCUUGCUCCUGGAUUCAGCGGCGGAUGGGUGAGUAAUGCCUAGGAAUCUGCCCGGUAGUGGGGGAUAACGUCCGGAAACGGGCGCUAAUACCGCAUACGUCCUGAGGGAGAAAGUGGGGGAUCUUCGGACCUCACGCUAUCAGAUGAGCCUAGGUCGGAUUAGCUAGUUGGUGGGGUAAAGGCCUACCAAGGCGACGAUCCGUAACUGGUCUGAGAGGAUGAUCAGUCACACUGGAACUGAGACACGGUCCAGACUCCUACGGGAGGCAGCAGUGGGGAAUAUUGGACAAUGGGCGAAAGCCUGAUCCAGCCAUGCCGCGUGUGUGAAGAAGGUCUUCGGAUUGUAAAGCACUUUAAGUUGGGAGGAAGGGCAGUAAGUUAAUACCUUGCUGUUUUGACGUUACCAACAGAAUAAGCACCGGCUAACUUCGUG
This 484-nucleotide ribosomal RNA is filed under the name uncultured bacterium. RNAcentral describes it as "partial 16S ribosomal RNA". It matches the Rfam family "Bacterial small subunit ribosomal RNA", at positions 30 to 507 of the family's 1533-position model. The record is from RNAcentral.